Molecule: ribosomal RNA, 486 nt
Filed under: uncultured bacterium
Lineage: Bacteria
Description: partial 16S ribosomal RNA
Rfam family: Bacterial small subunit ribosomal RNA
Source: RNAcentral
AUUGAACGCUGGCGGCAUGCCUUACACAUGCAAGUCGAACGGCAGCACGGGUGCUUGCACCUGGUGGCGAGUGGCGAACGGGUGAGUAAUACAUCGGAACAUGUCCUGUAGUGGGGGAUAGCCCGGCGAAGGCCGGAUUAAUACCGCAUACGAUCUACGGAUGAAAGCGGGGGACCUUCGGGCCUCGCGCUAUAGGGUUGGCCGAUGGCUGAUUAGCUAGUUGGUGGGGUAAAGGCCUACCAAGGCGACGAUCAGUAGCUGGUCUGAGAGGACGACCAGCCACACUGGGACUGAGACACGGCCCAGACUCCUACGGGAGGCAGCAGUGGGGAAUUUUGGACAAUGGGCGAAAGCCUGAUCCAGCAAUGCCGCGUGUGUGAAGAAGGCCUCCGGGUUGUAAAGCACUUUUGUCCGGAAAGAAAUCCUUGGCCCUAAUACGGUCGGGGGAUGACGGUACCGGAAGAAUAAGCACCGGCUAACUACGUG